UAAGGGCCUACCAAGACGAUGAUGUGUAGCUGGACUGAGAGGUUGAACUGGGACUGAGACACGGCCCAAACUCCUACGGGAGGCAGCAGUAGGGAAUUUUCGGCAAUGGAGGAAACUCUGACCGAGCAACGCCGCGUGAAUGACGAAGUACUGCCGGUAUGUAAAGUUCUUUUAUCGAGGAAGAAAAGCAAAUGGGAAACCAUUUGUUUGCCGGUACUUAAUGAAUAAGCCCCGGCUAAUUAUGUGCCAGCAGCCGCGGUAAGACAUAAGGGGCAAGUGUUAUCCGGAAUUAUUGGGCGUAAAGGGUGCGUAGGCGGUCUAGUAAGUCAGUGGUGUAAUGGCAACGCUUAACGUUGUCCGGCUAUUGAAACUGCUAAACUUGAGUUAGAUAGAGGCGAGUGGAAUUCCAUGUGUAGCGGUAAAAUGCGUAAAUAUAUGGAGGAACACCAGAGGCGUAGGCGGCUCGCUGGGUCUUAACUGACGCUGAGGCACGAAAGCGUGGGGAGCAAACAGGAUUAGAUACCCUGGUAGUCCACGCCGUAAACGAUGAGUACUAAGUGUCGGGUUAAACCGGUACUGAAGUUAACACAUUAAGUACUCCGCCUGAGUAGUACGUACGCAAGUAUGAAACUUAAAGGAAUUGACGGGACUCCGCACAAGCGGUGGAUCAUGUUGUUUAAUUCGAAGAUACCCGAAAAACCUUACCAGGUCUUGACAUGUUUUUGCAAAAUGAUAGUAAUAUCGUGGAGGUUACCAGAAACACAGGUGGUGCAUGGUUGUCGUCAGCUCGUGUCGUGAGAUGUUAGGUUAAGUCCUAAAACGAGCGAAACCCUUAUCGUUAGUUGCCAGCACGUUAUGGUGGGGACUUUAACGAGACUGCCAAUGAUAAAUUGGAGGAAGGUGAGGAUCACGUCAAAUCAGCAUGCCCCUUAUGACCUGGGCUACAAACGUGAUACAAUGGCUGUUACAAAGGGUAGCUGAAACGCAA
This 988-nucleotide ribosomal RNA is filed under the name 'Dimocarpus longan' witches'-broom phytoplasma. Its description in RNAcentral is "bacterial SSU rRNA". It matches the Rfam family "Bacterial small subunit ribosomal RNA", at positions 258 to 1260 of the family's 1533-position model. The record is from RNAcentral. Lineage: Bacteria; Bacillati; Mycoplasmatota; Mollicutes; Acholeplasmatales; Acholeplasmataceae.